AUUCCAGCUCCAAUAGCGUAUAUUAAAGUUGUUGCAGUUAAAAAGCUCGUAGUUGGAUUUCGGAAUGGGUCAGUUGGUCCGCCGCAAGGUGAGUUACUGACUGAUUUGUUCUUCUUCGCAAAGACUGCGUGUGCUCUUUACUGAGUGUACGUAGGAUUUACGACGUUUACUUUGAAAAAAUUAGAGUGUUCAAAGCAGGCUAUCGCUUGAAUACAUGAGCAUGGAAUAAUGGAAUAGGACUUUGGUUCUAUUUUGUUGGUUUCUAGGACCGAAGUAAUGAUUAAGAGGGACAAUUGGGGGCAUCCGUAUUUCGUUGUCAGAGGUGAAAUUCUUGGAUUUACGAAAGACGAACAACUGCGAAAGCACUUGCCAAGAGUGUUUUCAUUG
This 387-nucleotide ribosomal RNA is filed under the name Lizzia sp. RNAcentral's name for it is "partial small subunit ribosomal RNA". It matches the Rfam family "Eukaryotic small subunit ribosomal RNA", at positions 582 to 975 of the family's 1831-position model. The record is from RNAcentral. Lineage: Eukaryota; Metazoa; Cnidaria; Hydrozoa; Anthoathecata; Bougainvilliidae.